This 253-nucleotide ribosomal RNA is filed under the name uncultured bacterium. Its description in RNAcentral is "partial 16S ribosomal RNA". It matches the Rfam family "Bacterial small subunit ribosomal RNA", at positions 524 to 776 of the family's 1533-position model. The record is from RNAcentral.
UACGGGGGGGGCAAGCGUUGUUCGGAAUUACUGGGCGUAAAGCGCGUGUAGGCGGCUCUUCAAGUCGAGUGUGAAAGCUCCAGGCUUAACCUGGGAGUUGCGCUCGAUACUGUUGAGCUAGAGUGUGGAAGGGGCUACUGGAAUUCCGUGUGUAGCGGUGAAAUGCGUAGAUAUCAAGUGGAACACCAGUGGCGAAGGCGAGUCUCUGGACAUUUCCUGACGCUGAGGCACGAAAGCCAGGGGAGCAAACGGG